CCAUCGCCAGCUGCCGGUGUCUCUGCCAUUGAAUGACCGACAGGUAUCGGUGGAGGGGACAGGUCACCGCCAGAUGGUUUACCCGAUGAGUAUGAAUGCUGCCAAUACUAGGUCAAUCCCAGAGGCGGAAAUCAAUAGUCUCCUGGAGGACAAGGGGGACCUGGUGGUCAGCGACAAGACACACUUCGGAACACUGCUGCUGGUAGAGAGCCGGGAGCUGGUGGUCUUGAUACAGUGGGGAACCAAGGCUUAGAGACCCAUAGACUGAAGUGCUGUGAGUUUGCUGGCUGAGACUCAGAGGAGCACUUCACCCUAGGUACUGUGACAGACCCACCGGUACAAAGAAAUUGAGUCCUACAGCACCCUGCUCUAACACAGAUCCAAUAUGGGGAUAUUCAGGGCCUAUCCGGAAAGCGCACCCCCAUAGUGGGCCCUGCUCUCUACCCGUGGUCCAGGCUUCCCGGGCCUACUAGGUCUACUGGGCCUAAUGCACUGCUCAAUAGUGUUGGGAAGGAGAUGAGUGAGAUCAAUGGAGAUGUGGUUGUAGAGAAUGCCGAGGCUCAUCAGGACAUUGUUCACAAGCCUGCCGUAUGAGCAGAAGAGAGAGACGUGGAGAUCGCACCAGGGGAGAAGUUAUCUGUGAAAGUGGGCUGCCGAGCUAAGUAAGUCAUGCUUAGCUAGCCGCUACAACAUACAUCUGAUAUGGUUGUCAAUUUCUGGUGGGAUCACGUGUAAUGCUGUCUUUUAUCUAUUAUCUGACUGAAUCAAUUGCAUAUGGAGAUUCUGUUUUUUGAACAAUGAUUUGUGUCCCUCCAUCCUCCUGAGUAGCGCAGCGGUCUAAGGCACUACAUCUCAGUGCAUGAGGCAUCACUACAGUCCCUGGUUCAA
Long non-coding RNA from Salvelinus sp. IW2-2015, 888 nucleotides. RefSeq lists it as uncharacterized. Lineage: Eukaryota; Metazoa; Chordata; Actinopteri; Salmoniformes; Salmonidae. The record is from RefSeq and is a predicted model, not a curated record.